UAAGUAAGCGGAGGAAAAGAAACUAACUAGGAUUCCCUUAGUAAUGGCGAAUGAACAGGGAUCAGCUCAGUGCCAAAUCGGAAUCACUUGUGGUUCUGAAAUGUGGCUUGAAGGCAGUACCAGUGGCAUCGCGGACGAAAGUCUCUUGGAAAAGAGCGUCAUAGAGGGUGAGAAUCCCGUGAGUCGUUCGCCGUUUGUCACGUACGGUCUGCGUUCUAACGAGUCGCGUUCCUUGGGAUUGGAGCGUAAACGGGUGGUAAAUUUCAUCCAAAGCAAAAUAUAUACUCGAGACCGAUAGCACAAAAGUACUGUGAGGGAAAGGUGAAAAGAACUUUGAGAAGAGGGUUAAAUAGUGCCUGAAAUCGUUGAGAAGGAAGCGGAUGCCGCCGUUGCAUAUGCUGAUUGUAGGAUUGCUGCUCGCUCCUGUCUUCUGCUACUCAUUCACAGACCUGGUCGUGUUGAGCAGUUGUUUGGCAGAUGUUAGUGGUGUUUCCUACUUUCAGUCGUCAGCAUCACUGGCUGAGUGGAAAUAAUCCUUGGAUGCUAAUUGGUUCGCUAUCUGUGAAUUGGUUGCUUCCUUGCGAUACUCACUACUCGGUCAGUGAGGAAGUGCGUUUGCUGGUCAACGAGCUUUCUAACUGUCAUUACCCUGCGCUUUUCGAUUCGUCGAGUGGCCAGGAUGUGGCUUUGAGAUUGUUCGCACUUAGUAAUCGCGAUGCUGGCUUCCAACGGUUGCCUCCGGCCCGUCUUGAAACACGGACCAAGGAGUCUAACGUAUGUGCGAGUGUGUGAGUGGCAAACUUAUACGCGUAAUGAAAGUGAGGCCGUAUGGCCAUGUUGGGGUCACCAACAACCGACCUUGAUCUUCGGUGAAAGGUUUGAGUAUGAGCAUAUCCGUUAGGACCCGAAAGAUGGUGAACUAUGCCUGAGCAGGGUGAAGCCAGGGGAAACUCUGGUGGAGGCUCGUAGCGAUA
RNAcentral lists this ribosomal RNA (974 nucleotides) under Perkinsus marinus. RNAcentral describes it as "LSU rRNA". It matches the Rfam family "Eukaryotic large subunit ribosomal RNA", at positions 43 to 885 of the family's 3401-position model. The record is from RNAcentral. Lineage: Eukaryota; Perkinsozoa; Perkinsida; Perkinsidae.